Molecule: ribosomal RNA, 497 nt
Filed under: uncultured bacterium
Lineage: Bacteria
Description: partial 16S ribosomal RNA
Rfam family: Bacterial small subunit ribosomal RNA
Source: RNAcentral
GAUGAACGCUGGCGGCGUGCCUAAUACAUGCAAGUCGAGCGAACAGACGAGGAGCUUUCUCCUCUGACGUUAGCGGCGGACGGGUGAGGAACACGUGGAUAGCCUACCUAUAAGACUGGGAUAACUUUGGGAAACCGGAGCUAAUGCCGGAUAAUAUAUUGAACCUCAUGGGUCAAUAGUGAAAGUCGGUUUUGCUUAGAGUUAUAGAUUGAUCCGCGCCGCAUUAGCUAGUUGGUAAGGUAACGGCUUAGCAAGGCAACGAUGCGUAGCCGACCUGAGAGGGUGGUCCGCCACACUGGCACUGAGACACGGCACAGACUCCUACGGGAGGCAGCAGUAGGGACUCUUCCGCAAUGGAGCAGAGCCUGACGGUGGACAACCGCGUGAGUGCUGAAGGUCUUCGGCUGGUAGAACUCUGUUAUUAGUAGAGAACAAAAGUGUAAGUACCUAUGAACGUCUUGACGGUACCUAGUCAGAAAGCCCCGGCUAACUCCGUG